CCGGCCACUGCACUGGCUUACUGCUGAGCGGUCAUGUGACAUCAGUCAGUGCGUGGUAUUGUAAAAGACUGAGUGAAAACGGAGAUGGGAGAGGAGGCUGAUCAGUGGACUGGAGCAGGGGCCUCGAACGCUGCAGAUGGAAUGUUUGGCAGACAUCCUGCAAUCCCUGGAAGUCAGGAAUGGAUUCAAGUUCUCUGUCAUAUAUCUACAAUUAGGAGGAGAACCAUACAAUGAGGAGAUUAGUAAUGCCUCUGUUUUAAUAAUGAUGUAUAUAAACAUCAACAAGAAA
Long non-coding RNA from Bombina bombina (fire-bellied toad), 289 nucleotides. RefSeq lists it as uncharacterized. The record is from RefSeq and is a predicted model, not a curated record. Lineage: Eukaryota; Metazoa; Chordata; Amphibia; Anura; Bombinatoridae. The transcript has 2 exons.